GGCCAGACUCCUACGGGAGGCAGCAGUGGGGAAGAUUGCACAAUGGGGGAAACCCUGAUGCAGCGACGCCGCGUGAGCGAAGAAGUAUUUCGGUAUGUAAAGCUCUAUCAGCAGGGAAGAAAAUGACGGUACCUGACUAAGAAGCUCCGGCUAAAUACGUGCCAGCAGCCGCGGUAAUACGUAUGGAGCAAGCGUUAUCCGGAUUUACUGGGUGUAAAGGGAGCGCAGGCGGUCCGGCAAGUCUGAUGUGAAAGGCGGGGGCUCAACCCCCGGACUGCAUUGGAAACUGUCGGGCUGGAGUGUCGGAGGGGCAGGCGGAAUUCCUAGUGUAGCGGUGAAAUGCGUAGAUAUUAGGAGGAACACCAGUGGCGAAGGCGGCUUACUGGACUGUAACUGACGUUGAGGCUCGAAAGCGUGGGGAGCAAACAGGAUUAGAUACCCCUGUA
This 446-nucleotide ribosomal RNA is filed under the name uncultured bacterium. RNAcentral's name for it is "bacterial SSU rRNA". It matches the Rfam family "Bacterial small subunit ribosomal RNA", at positions 329 to 792 of the family's 1533-position model. The record is from RNAcentral.